GUUGAAGUUGGAGCGGCAAUCACUUGGAAGUAUCCUAGUUGCAUUUUGAGGGGGAAAGAAAGUGUAGGAGAGUUUUACUCUAUCGCUUUAACA
Molecule: transfer RNA, 93 nt
Filed under: Chlamydia abortus
Lineage: Bacteria; Pseudomonadati; Chlamydiota; Chlamydiia; Chlamydiales; Chlamydiaceae
Description: tRNA-Pyl(cta)
Source: RNAcentral